RNAcentral lists this transfer RNA (71 nucleotides) under Evermannella indica (Indian sabertooth). RNAcentral's name for it is "tRNA-Ile". It matches the Rfam family "tRNA". From Rfam's summary of the family: Transfer RNA (tRNA) molecules are approximately 80 nucleotides in length. Their secondary structure includes four short double-helical elements and three loops (D, anti-codon, and T loops). Further hydrogen bonds mediate the characteristic L-shaped molecular structure. tRNAs have two regions of fundamental functional importance: the anti-codon, which is responsible for specific mRNA codon recognition, and the 3' end, to which the tRNAs corresponding amino acid is attached (by aminoacyl-tRNA synthetases). tRNAs cope with the degeneracy of the genetic code in two manners: having more than one tRNA (with a specific anti-codon) for a particular amino acid; and 'wobble' base-pairing, i.e. permitting non-standard base-pairing at the 3rd anti-codon position. The record is from RNAcentral. Lineage: Eukaryota; Metazoa; Chordata; Actinopteri; Aulopiformes; Evermannellidae.
GGAACUGUGCCCGAAUGUUAGGGGCCACUUUGAUAGAGUGUCUCACGGGGGUUCAAGUCCCCCCAGCUCCU